GUGGGGUAGGCACACACUCCCUCCCCCAGGAAGCUUUUUUGUUUUUUUUAUCUCAUAUUCUCCCAGUCUCAUGUCAGACCACCCAGUGAAAUGUGGGUGUUUCAUCAGGACAGGGGCCGCAAUCUGUCCUAAUAAAAUUAAAUAAAAACAAACCUUUGCAGUACAGGAACUGGCUUUUACUUCUUGGUAACACUACUUGGAGGGAUGGUCAACGCUCUUUCACACCCAUGCAAGUGCCGGACCCGCAAGAGUUUAGUAGCAUUUCCUCCUGCUCUGAAAAUCGAGAUCUCCAAAAGAGCCUCACCGUUCUCUUUCUCAAGCCUCAGGUUCCCGCACUGGCAAUUCCUGUUCACCAUGGUUUACAUACUCUCUAAGAAGCAGGGUGAACUCAACGAUCUCCUUCCUCCAGGUGACUCUGAUCCUGACUUGGUUAAAUGAAGUCACAACCGUCCCUCCUUAACCCAGGGAAAGCAGACCCCUUCCUUCAGACACUGGGAACUAACUCUGCGGCGCAAGGAAGUCUCCAACCUCGCUCGAUCCACCCCCAGAACCGCGGGCUCCUCUCAGGCCAGCGCGCGAGCCGGGCCAGUUAAGUCUGUAGUUUGGCUCCGACCCUGGAAGCCCAACCCAGCGCCAGGCGUGGCCAUACGCACCGCAGGGACUGGGGCCUCCGGCCUCACGUCCAAGACUCCGGGAGAGCUGUCGGACCCAGGAUGUGAACGCCGCCGCCGUCGGUGUCCCGGACAGAGCUGCGCAGGUCCCUCUUUCUCCAGGAGGUGUCGACGCUUCCGUGUGCGUCAUCAGGACGCGCCCAUUGUGGAGCUUACAAUGGAACUACUGGUAAUCCAGGCAUGCCGGGAUACGGAGGACGGGUCUCCAUAGCAACCGGCCCACAGUAACCCAGGCCUUCAGCCUGUCCUAGCAUUCUGGUCUGUGUCCUUGGGUCCACUACCGAGUAACACGAUGCUCCGGCCCACCACCCCUCAGCUUAGGAGAGUAACAGAGCCAGCUGUGGGUGUAACACUCGUUUAUUUACACACUCUCAUCUGAAGGCAAAAGAGCAGCCCAACCAACUAGAGGGCACAGAUCUGGGACUUUAACCCCGAGGGCCUACAGACCCUUUCUUCCUUCCGGGAUCUCGGAAGGCAGAGAACGAAGGCAUGAGAGAACGAAAAGAUUUACGUUCUCCUCCAGUUCUGAGCACUACAUUCUAUGUUUUCAUCUCUCUAAAAGGCUCAUUUUAUUAAAUACUCAAGCUUUUCACCUCUA
This is a long non-coding RNA of Mastomys coucha (southern multimammate mouse), 1269 nucleotides long. RefSeq lists it as uncharacterized. The record is from RefSeq and is a predicted model, not a curated record. The transcript has 2 exons. Lineage: Eukaryota; Metazoa; Chordata; Mammalia; Rodentia; Muridae.